UACAGAGGUGGCAAGCGUUGUUCGGAAUUACUGGGCGUAAAGGGCGCGUAGGCGGCCUUCUAAGUCAGACGUGAAAUCCCCCGGCUUAACCUGGGAACUGCGUCUGAUACUGGAGGGCUUGAGUGCGGGAGAGGGAUGUGGAAUUCCAGGUGUAGCGGUGAAAUGCGUAGAUAUCUGGAGGAACACCGGUGGCGAAGGCGGCGUUCUGGACUGUAACUGACACUGAGAAACGAAAGCCAGGGUAGCAAACAGG
RNAcentral lists this ribosomal RNA (253 nucleotides) under uncultured bacterium. RNAcentral's name for it is "partial 16S ribosomal RNA". It matches the Rfam family "Bacterial small subunit ribosomal RNA", at positions 524 to 776 of the family's 1533-position model. The record is from RNAcentral.